Molecule: unclassified non-coding RNA, 530 nt
Filed under: Hevea brasiliensis (rubber tree)
Lineage: Eukaryota; Viridiplantae; Streptophyta; Magnoliopsida; Malpighiales; Euphorbiaceae
Source: RNAcentral
CUCCCACGAUCACUCUCAGCAGCUGCAAACCCUAAUCGAAGAUGAGCCGACACCCAGUUACGAAAUGGGCUCAAAGGUCCGACAAGGUUUUUAUCACUAUUGAACUGCCAGACGCAAAGGAUGUUAAGCUCACUUUGGAACCAGAAGGUCAUUUUCAUUUCUCUGCAGUUACUGGAGCUGAUAAUGUUCCAUAUGAGGUCGAUUUGGAUCUGCAUGACAAGGUCAAUGUGGAUGAGAGUAAAGCUGCUGUGGGCUUAAGGCACGUGUGCUACCUCGUGAAGAAAGCUGAGAAAAAAUGGUGGAGCAGGCUCUUAAAGCAGGAAGGGAAGCCUCCUGUGUUCUUGAAAGUUGAUUGGGACAAAUGGGUUGACGAAGAUGAAGAAGAUGAAAAGAAGCCUGGUGGGGACAUGGAUCCAGACUUUGGUGGGGACUUUGGUGGCAUGGAUUUCUCGAAGCUGGGCAUGGGAGGCAUGCCUGGUAUGGAAGGCUUGGGCGGCAUGGGAGGCAUGCCUGGUAUGGAAGGCUUGGGC